Molecule: ribosomal RNA, 326 nt
Filed under: Viridasiidae sp. Madagascar CG28
Lineage: Eukaryota; Metazoa; Arthropoda; Arachnida; Araneae; Viridasiidae
Description: partial 12S ribosomal RNA
Source: RNAcentral
AGGUAGUAUAAAUAUAUAAACCAAUUUAUAUCGGCGGCUAUUAGUUUUAUUAGAGGAACUUGUUAAUUAAUCGAUACACCCCGAUAAUUUUCACUUAUAUUCAAAAUUUAUAUAUCGCCAUCUAAAGAGAAUAUUUAAUAAUAUUUUCCUUUUUAAAAAAAAAAAGUUAGGUCAAGGUGUAAUUUAUAUAUAAGAGUAUAAUGAGUUACAUUAAAAAUAAUUUAAGAAAUUUUUACUUUAAAUUUUAAAUGAAAAAGGAUUUAAUAGUAAUAAUAUUUUAUAUUAAUAAUAAUAAUAAUAUAAUAUGAAUUAAUUAAUAAUAGUGU